UACAGAGGUCCCGAGCGUUGUUCGGAUUCACUGGGCGUAAAGGGUGCGUAGGUGGUGAGGUAAGUCGGAUGUGAAAGCUCGGAGCUCAACUCCGAAAUGGCAUUGGAAACUACCUUGCUCGAGGGUUGGAGGGGGGACUGGAAUGCCUGGUGUAGCAGUGAAAUGCGUAGAUAUCAAGCGGAACACCAGUGGCGAAGGCGAGUCCCUGGACAACUCCUGACACUGAGGCACGAAAGCUAGGGGAGCAAACAGG
Molecule: ribosomal RNA, 253 nt
Filed under: uncultured bacterium
Lineage: Bacteria
Description: partial 16S ribosomal RNA
Rfam family: Bacterial small subunit ribosomal RNA
Source: RNAcentral